CGCAGGCCGGGCUGGGGGCGGGAGGGCAGGCCCGGAGCGGUCGGGCUGCGACGGAGACCUGGAGAAGCAGCUACGGCAGCAACGGAGGCCGCCGGCAGGACCGCCCACCCACCUGCCCCCAAACGGCCGGGGCAGAUGGGCCCGGGAUCCUUCCGCCCCCUCCGCUCCUCCUUCCUGCCCCUGCCCAGGACCCUCUCUGAGAGGCAGGGCGGGCCCGGGCCUCGUGGGGGGGACCGGCACGGUACGGGAUGGGGGAAGGGGGCGGGGGAAGGAGAGGGGACCCGGAGCCCAUGGAGACAGAAGCCCCUCAGCGGUCGGGGCAGGACCGCCGGGCCAGGGGACCAGAGGGCAGGGGGAGUUCCAGAAGCUAGAGAGGCAGUGUACUUAGCGAAAAGAGCACGGACAUGGGAGUCGGAAGUCAUGGGUUCUAACCCCGGCUCCGCCACUUGUCAGCUGUGUGACUCUGGCCAGGUCGCCUCACUUCUUAGUUACCUGUAAAAUGGGGAUGAAGGCUGUGAGCCCCACGUGGGACGACCUGAUUACCUUGCGUCUCCCCCAGCACUUAGAACAGUACUUGGCACCUAAUAAGCGCUUAACAAAUACCAUUAUUAUUAUUAUUAUAGUUAGAGGGUGGCGGGGGAAGAGCGGGGAGGUCAGUGGCCGGGCCUCCCUGGCCCAGGGGCAGCAGGAGAGCCCAGCUGUGGGUGAGACAGGGAACGGCUGGCCCCGCCUGAAAGCUAGAGCACUACCUGUCUGCUGUGUGACCUUGAGCAAGUCACUUCGUUUCUCCGUGCCUCGGUCACCUCAUCUACAAGACGGGGAUUAAGACACGGACUGCGUCCGUCCCGACUGGCUUGCAUCUCCCCCAGCGUUUAGAACAGUGCUUGGCAUAUAGUAAGCGCUUAACGCAUACCAGAACGACGACGACAAAAAAGGAGGGAGCCAUCUGAGGGGGCGGCCCUACGGGAGUCAGGAGUCCCAGUUCCGCUCCGGGCCUGUUGCCAAAUCAUCUGCCCCUUUUGGGCCUCAGGCUCCUCAUCUGUAAAAUGGGGAUGAUAAGCCCUGCCUCCCCGUUGGCACAGAGAGGUUGUGAGGACAAACGAGAGGAAUUAAGGGGCCAGUGCUCCGGGAAACAAACAAGGAACGCCGGUUGUGUGCCAGGAUGAGAGAGCACAGCCCCGGAGGUAAAAUGAUAAGGAGGGCCCGGGCCGGGCCGCCCAUCUCUUCCCCUGCGGCCGGGAGGGGCUGAUCCGGAGGCCCUGUCUCAGCUCCUCGCCCGCAUCCCGGGGGGCGCUGGGACUAGAGGAGUUCAGGUGAUCAGGAGGCGAGGGCUUUGCCCCAGACCGAGGAGGACAGGAGGCCCAGCGGCUGCCUCUCGGCUGCUAAUCUCAUGCCUCCUCCAAGAAGCCUUCCCCUAACCGACCCCUCAUUUCCCCACCCUUUUCUCCCUUCUUCCUAUAUUGCUUACACGUGUGGAUCGGCAUCGCUUAAGCCCUCGGAUAAGCACCCCGCUUACAUCCAUAUCCUUCUACUCUGCCGUUUCCCCUAGAUGUCAUUUAUUAUUUUAUUAUUUAUUUAUAUUAACGUCGGUCUCCCCCCUCUGCACUGUAAGCUCCUUUUGGGCAGGGAAUGCGACUGCCAGCUCCGUUACAUUGUACUCUUCCACACGCUUAGUACAGUGCUCUGCACCGAGUAAGCACUCAAUAAAUACCAUAGAUGAUGCCGAUUUUCAUAUCAGAUUGCCCCUCUAGACUGUAAAUUCCUUGAGGGAAGGGACUGUGUCCACCAGCCAUAAUGUACAUCUUCUCCCAAGCCUCCAGUGCUGUGUAGUGUACAUAGUUAAUAAUAAUAAUCACGGUACUUGUUAAGCGCUUAUUAAGUGCCAGGCACUGUACUAAGCAGUGGGGUAGAGACAAGGUGAUCAGGUUCGACACAGUCGCUGUACUACACUGGACUCACGCUCUCAUCCCCAUUUUACAGAUGAGGUAACUGAGGCACAGAGAAGCGAAGCGACUCUCCCAAGGGCACAGAGCAGGCGUGUGAUGGAGC
Molecule: long non-coding RNA, 2049 nt
Filed under: Ornithorhynchus anatinus (platypus)
Lineage: Eukaryota; Metazoa; Chordata; Mammalia; Monotremata; Ornithorhynchidae
Description: lncRNA (ENSOANG00000048209.1)
Source: RNAcentral